UACUACUCCUUCCGUCCCAUA
Molecule: microRNA, 21 nt
Filed under: Corchorus olitorius
Lineage: Eukaryota; Viridiplantae; Streptophyta; Magnoliopsida; Malvales; Malvaceae
Description: ssp-miR11
Source: RNAcentral